ACUGAGAGAGACAAGAGAGAACGAAGGCUGAGAGGAAGAGCCCCUUUGUGCUUUAGGUAACAAGGUCCGGGAAGACGAGAGAGUGCAAUGGCGCUUGCUGUUUGCAGACACAGGUAUGCCUGUGCCCUCGCUCUGGCUUCCUAACCUUCUGGCCAUGAAACCUUGGGUGACUCUCCUCCUUCCCUAGGCCUCCAUGUCCUCACAUGAGUCCCCAGCACCUCUCCUUCAAACUGGUUGAACAAGGUACAACUUAGCCUCCCAGGUAAAACAAACCACGAAGACUGCCUAAACUUCAAGGUGUGGUGGAGCACAUAUAGACUCACAGCACGAGUGUGUCCUUCAUAAAGAUACCUACACAUAGGGACUCACAGCACGAGUGUGUCCUGCAUAAGGAUACCUCUGUUGUUUAAGACCUUCCUCCACCCAAGUCUGUCAUACCCUGGAAAGGGUCCCCAAAGGAAUGGGGCAGAGCUGGUGUGGCCUGGCUUCCCUCUAGUGUGGGGCAAAGCAGGGUGAUAAAUACCAACCAGAGGGUGAGCUUUGAGGCCACACAGCAAUAGGUUAGAAUCUAGGCUCCACCAGUGACCACCUUGGGAUCUUGUGGGCUAUGGGCUUUGUCUCCCUGCCCUCUGCAGUGUCAGCUUCUACAUCCAUUACACUGGCACAGUCACAACCCUGUGGGGCUGGGACACACAGGACAUUUCCUCCCGACAGGAUCCAACCCCAGCCUCUAAGUCUGGCAUAAUCAUCACCCUCUGAGGACGAGCAGCUCCCUGUCCCUACUGGGCGGAGUUGGGACUGCAGCUGCAGGAGACUGGCCUGCACACACCAAGGAUGGCAGGCGUUCUGCCUCUGCUGAAGGUGCUCCCUUAGAUGCUUUGCCCUCAGUCCUCAACAGGCUCGGCUACACAUCACCUCUUCCACCGCACCCCUCUUUUGCCCCCUGCCUCUCCAGUCCCUGUCAUUCUGCUCACACUGGGUGGUAACAGUCUGUUUUCCUCCACUAGACUCAGAGCGCUUAUAAGUGGGGACAGGCAAUGCGGCUGGGCAUGUGCUGAGGGAACUCCUGUUGGGCAGACCUGGCUAGCCCAACCAUGAUUCCUGCUCCACAACCCACCAAGCCCCACCACAAAUGGGCAUGGCGGGAUGGCGGGAGACCAGAGAGCCUUCAUUGAUGGACACAGUACUACCCUGCCAGGUCUACUUCAUGGCAGGCCCUCUACUUCACCCUUCCCCACCAGGACCCCCAUACCUGCUUACUGCAAGGCCCCAUCCUCCACGUCUGUGUCCUGGCUGUGCUCCUGAAAGGAGGAGACAACAAGGACCACACAUCACUCACGGCAAGUCUGUCCUGCCCUGGGGCCCAGAGCAUAUGUGGAGGCCACAUUCGGAAAGGGGGAGGGGCAGUCAAAGGGAAUAACUAGAGAACCAGUUUGAAUAAAUAAGGCUGCCUCGGGAUUCCAACAGGACAGUCUUGAAGGCCCCUCAGGAGAGAAAGGACCAGUCAAGGAAGUUCUAGGCGUGGCAGGGGACACAUUCUCCAUAGAAAGAUCUUCUCAGACUGGAGCAGACUGAAAGCCUAGUAGACUGCUGAGCUCCCCAUCUUAGGAACAUCUAAGCCUUCAUUAGGACCUUUAUGGAGACUAUGCUUCAAAAGAGUAAAAUGGGGUCUCUGGCUAGGUUCAAAUAAGAAGAGACAGGCUGGGCACAAAGACCUUUCUCUCCACUGUUAUGUCCACAAAACCCAUCUAUCCUCAUACCAAGACCCAGCCACAUGAAGACCCACUGACGUCCAGGCUCCAAUCCUGGCUCCACCCUCAUUAGUCACAAAGCCCUGGGACAAGCUACUUGACUCCUCUGAGUCUCAGCUUCUUCAUGGGGUAAAUGUAACAAGAGUAAUACUUUGAACAGUUCAGGGCUACUGUUCAGGUCAAAUGAAGUUAAAAACUGUGAACUACAGGGCCUGGUGUUCACUAAGUAUGAGGUAGAUGAGUAGCAGGCACACCUCGCCUUCAGAAUCUGGGCGACCUUUCCACUUAAGAUGAGCUCCUUGCCUCAAUCUGAAGAAUUCCAAUACCAAACAGGAAGCUUGCUCGCCCUGUCUUGAGACAGCCUGUGUCAAGCUCAGGCAACAAUGGCUUUUAGAAAAUCCUCAGGUGGAGCAGACCCCUGCACUGCGUGUGGCUUCCCCAGGCAAUCCCCCUUCUCCUGUUCCUGGAAUUCUGCAGACCAUGAGCCCUUGACUCUUCUCUUCUUCAACUCAUGUGGAAGAUGGAGUCUAGAAUGGGCCUUGGGAUAGAGAGAGGUCCACCACAGUCCUCUGUGGGGUUUCUCAUUGACAGCUGAAAGAGCUAAGUACUCUCUGUUCAUUUCCCCCCCUUUCUCACAGGAUUAGAACCCCUGGCAAGGAAGGAGGGAGCUCACAGGGCAGCCAAGCAGUCAAGAGGUGCCCCCCCACUCCCUGCAGCCCUCCUGCAACCAGAGGAUGGUAUCUGUCUUUCAAGGUGUAUAAAUGUGAGUGCUUUACAAUCAGAUUUCCUGAGUGCCUGACCACAUGUGCACACCAGAAUGACUGUGGAGUAGCGAGCCUGUGUGGACCUGUCCUUGUCCUGACUAAAAGAUGACACCAUUUCCUCACUGAACUGCAAGUCACAGCACUGGACACAGCCCCACCUCCACAAAUGUCAGUCUUUUCCUCUUAGAAAUGCAUGAAAAUACUCACUUGGUUGUAUUAGAGCAGCAGAACUGUGGGAGAUUUGUUCCUUUAUCUAUUUUCCAAUGUAAAAAAAUGCGAUUCUAUUAUUUUUCUAAUGACAAAAUGAAAAUUAUCUAGGAAGAA
Bubalus bubalis (water buffalo) is the source of this 2839-nucleotide long non-coding RNA. RefSeq lists it as uncharacterized. NCBI's taxonomy places the organism in Eukaryota, Metazoa, Chordata, Mammalia, Artiodactyla, Bovidae. The record is from RefSeq and is a predicted model, not a curated record. The transcript has 2 exons.